This 350-nucleotide ribosomal RNA is filed under the name uncultured bacterium. RNAcentral's name for it is "bacterial SSU rRNA". It matches the Rfam family "Bacterial small subunit ribosomal RNA", at positions 8 to 350 of the family's 1533-position model. The record is from RNAcentral.
AGAGUUUGAUCAUGGCUCAGGAUGAACGCUAGCUACAGGCUUAACACAUGCAAGUCGAGGGGAAACGACAUCGAAAGCUUGCUUUUGAUGGGCGUCGACCGGCGCACGGGUGAGUAACGCGUAUCCAACCUGCCCACCACUUGGGGAUAACCUUGCGAAAGUAAGACUAAUACCCAAUGAUAUCUCUAGAAGACAUCUGAAAGAGAUUAAAGAUUUAUCGGUGAUGGAUGGGGAUGCGUCUGAUUAGCUUGUUGGCGGGUAACGGCCACCAAGGCUACGAUCAGUAGGGUCUGAGAGGAAGGUCCCCCANACUUGGAACUGAGACACGGUCCAAACUCCUACGGGAGGCA